UACGAAGGGGGCUAGCGUUGCUCGGAAUCACUGGGCGUAAAGCGCACGUAGGCGGACGAUUAAGUUAGAGGUGAAAGCCUGAAGCUCAACUUCAGAACUGCCUUUGAUACUGAUCGUCUUGAGUUCGGAAGAGGUUGGUGGAACUGCGAGUGUAGAGGUGAAAUUCGUAGAUAUUCGCAAGAACACCAGUGGCGAAGGCGGCCAACUGGUCCGAUACUGACGCUGAGGUGCGAAAGCGUGGGGAUCAAAC
This 250-nucleotide ribosomal RNA is filed under the name uncultured bacterium. Its description in RNAcentral is "partial 16S ribosomal RNA". It matches the Rfam family "Bacterial small subunit ribosomal RNA", at positions 524 to 773 of the family's 1533-position model. The record is from RNAcentral.